Molecule: ribosomal RNA, 954 nt
Filed under: uncultured bacterium
Lineage: Bacteria
Description: bacterial SSU rRNA
Rfam family: Bacterial small subunit ribosomal RNA
Source: RNAcentral
AGAGUUUGAUCCUGGCUCAGAACGAACGCUGGCGGCGUGGAUAAGACAUGCAAGUCGGACGAGAUUUUUCGUUGUAGCAAUACGAUGGAAAGUCUAGUGGCGAACGGGUGCUUAACACGUGGGCAACCUGCCAUGAAGUGGGGGAUAGCUCGCCGAAAGGCGAAUUAAUACCGCAUGUGAUUAGAGAGGACAUCCUUUCGAAAUUAAAGUCGGGGCAACCUGACGCUUCUUGUGGGGCCCGCGGCCUAUCAGCUAGUUGGUGAGGUAACGGCUCACCAAGGCUUUGACGGGUAGCUGGUCUGAGAGGACGACCAGCCACACUGGGACUGAGACACGGCCCAGACACCUACGGGUGGCAGCAGUCGAGAAUUUUUGACAAUGGGGGAAACCCUGAUCGAGCGACGCCGCGUGGAGGAUGAAGGUCUUCGGAUUGUAAACUCCUGUCAUUGGGGAACAAGGUGCAUACGUUAACUGCGUGUGUAUUGAUAGUACCCGAAGAGGAAGAGACGGCUAACUCUGUGCCAGCAGCCGCGGUAAUACAGAGGUCUCAAGCGUUGUUCGGAUUCAUUGGGCGUAAAGGGUGCGUAGGCGGCGCGGUAAGUCGGGUGUGAAAUCUCGGAGCUUAACUCCGAAACUGCAUUCGAUACUGCCGUGCUUGAGGACUGGAGAGGAGACUGGAAUUUACGGUGUAGCGGUGAAAUGCGUAGAUAUCGUAAGGAAGACCAGUGGCGAAGGCGGGUCUCUGGACAGUUCCUAACGCUGAGGCACGAAAGGUCAGGGGAGCAAACGGGAUUAGAUACCCCGGUAGUCCUGACAGUAAACGGUGCACGUUUGGUGUGGGAGGAUUCGACCCCUUCUGCGCCGGAGCUAACGCGUUAAACGUGCCGCCUGGGGGAGUACGGUCGCAAGAUUAAAACUCAAAGAAAUUGACGGGGCCCGCACAAGCGGUGGGGU